Quercus robur (English oak) is the source of this 118-nucleotide small nuclear RNA. RefSeq annotates it as U5 spliceosomal RNA. NCBI's taxonomy places the organism in Eukaryota, Viridiplantae, Streptophyta, Magnoliopsida, Fagales, Fagaceae. The transcript has a single exon. The record is from RefSeq and is a predicted model, not a curated record.
AGCCACGCGGUGAGCACAGAGCGAACUAUUCUUUCGCCUUUUACUAAAGAAUACCGUGUGCACGCCGCAAAUAGUGGCAUACGCCUAUUUUUGGAGGGGUUUCUCCUAAAGGGAAGCU